RNAcentral lists this ribosomal RNA (497 nucleotides) under uncultured bacterium. Its description in RNAcentral is "partial 16S ribosomal RNA". It matches the Rfam family "Bacterial small subunit ribosomal RNA", at positions 28 to 507 of the family's 1533-position model. The record is from RNAcentral.
GAUGAACGCUGGCGGCGUGCCUAAUACAUGCAAGUCGAGCGAACAGACGAGGAGCUUGCUCCUCUGACGUUAGCGGCGGACGGGUGAGUAACACGUGGAUAACCUACCUAUAAGACUGGGAUAACUUCGGGAAACCGGAGCUAAUACCGGAUAAUAUAUUGAACCGCAUGGUUCAAUAGUGAAAGACGGUUUUGCUGUCACUUAUAGAUGGAUCCGCGCCGCAUUAGCUAGUUGGUAAGGUAACGGCUUACCAAGGCAACGAUGCGUAGCCGACCUGAGAGAGUGAUCGGCCACACUGGAACUUAGACACGGUCCAUACUCCUACGGGAGGCAGCAGUAGGGAAUCUUCCGCAAUGGGCGAAAGCCUGACGGAGCAACGCCGCGUGAGUGAUGAAGGUCUUCGGAUCGUAAAACUCUGUUAUUAGGUAAGAACAAAUGUGUAAGUAACUAUGCACGUCUUGACGGUACCUAAUCAGAAAGCCACGGCUAACUACGUG